ACGGAAGGCAGCAGUGAGGAAUAUUGGUCAAUGGGCGGAAGCCUGAACCAGCCAAGUCGCGUGAAGGAAGACGGUAUUAUGUAUUGUAAACUUCUUUAGCAGGGGAGCAAUAAUCGCCACGCGUGGCGAGAUGAGAGUACCCUGAGAAUAAGGAUCGGCUAACUCCGUGCCAGCAGCCGCGGUAAUACGGAGGAUCCGAGCGUUAUCCGGAUUUAUUGGGUUUAAAGGGUGCGCAGGCGGCUUUUUAAGUCAGUGGUUAAAUCGUGACGCUCAACGUCAUCACGCCAUUGAUACUGGAGAGCUUGAUUGCGGUCGAGGUUUGCGGAAUUCGUUGUGUAGCGGUGAAAUGCAUAGAUAUGACGAAGAACACCGAUUGCGUAGGCAGCAGACCAGGCCGUAAAUGACGCUCAUGCACGAAAGUGCGGGGAUCGAACAGGAUUAGAUACCCUGGUA
This 453-nucleotide ribosomal RNA is filed under the name uncultured bacterium. RNAcentral's name for it is "partial 16S ribosomal RNA". It matches the Rfam family "Bacterial small subunit ribosomal RNA", at positions 341 to 792 of the family's 1533-position model. The record is from RNAcentral.